GUGCCACGUGUCCCACGUCUCCCAGUGGGAGACGUUGGAUGUCCCCCUGGCCAUUUAAUGAAUUUUGGGUCUUCUUCUUCCUCAUAACACCAAACAGAGAGAGCACACCAAACAGAGAGCACGAAAGGGGUUGCGAUUUUAGGGUUUUCAAGGUUGUGAUUUUGGUGGUGAGAUUUUAGAGAGUACUUUGCAUCAAAACUUCUAUAUCUAUCAAUCACACAUUUGAGAUGGUUAGGUCACUAUUAUAGGGGAAAUGCUGCCCGAUAUUAUUUAGGAUAAUAAACGAUUAGUUGAGAACGGGCAUUACUUGAUUGAACAUGCAAGUCCCAGGCAUUACUUGAGAACGCUAACAAGCACAUCAUAUACAGAGGCACAAAUUGAUGAGUUGCGACAAGAAUGAGCGACAUAUAUGUUGCCGAUAAUCCAAAGUUACCGACCUCGUUGAUAGGUUUUUUUUUAAUUUUUUAACUCUUUCUUCAUACACAAUGCAAUAUUUGUUCAUUUUGAAUAUUUCUAACAAAUAUUGUAUUUCUUGUAUAUAUCUAACAAAUAUAUUUUUUUUAUUUCAAU
Humulus lupulus (European hop) is the source of this 570-nucleotide long non-coding RNA. RefSeq lists it as uncharacterized. The record is from RefSeq and is a predicted model, not a curated record. The transcript is spliced from 4 exons. Lineage: Eukaryota; Viridiplantae; Streptophyta; Magnoliopsida; Rosales; Cannabaceae.